AAAUUUCUUGCCCCUUUCAUUAUUUUCCAUAAAACCUAAUGCACUGUGUUGCAACUGGGGGAGAGAGAUGGGCUCCUGCAAGUUAAGAUAUUUAUACAGCUUCUGUUUUGUCACAGUGUGACCCAUGCUUUGAUGCAUAUUAUAUAAUUUUCCUCUGCCUUGCAGGAAAGACCACUACUCUCUGUUUUAUAAUUCUGCCACCUCAAAUGCCUGACCCAUUUAUAAUUUGUUGUCUGACUUUCAGCAUGCAUUCAGUUAUUUCCCUGGCCCAUCACUGUAGUAACUGCAAGAGAAUCCUCAUCCUGAAGAAGCUCAGAAAAGAUGAAAGCAGAAGCCUGAGGAACAAGCGCUGACAGAGAAUAAAGGAAAAUCUGAGAAGUAGCUCUGAGGACAUCAAAUAUGUUAAGUCUGCUCUGAUUUAUGGAGACUUUUUACUCCUGCAUUCAAUAACACCCAUGGCAAUUUGGGAGGACAUAAUAAAAUUUGGUAUAAACACGAAGAUUAUCUUCAGCAUUUGCAGCAGAAAUUUUGCACUUACAUUGAUCCUGUCAGCAGAAGGAACUUUAUGUUCUACUUUUCCUCUGGAGAGAUGGAAAGACUACUAAGGAUGGUGGCGAGGGGCAGAUGGAAGACAUCUGAAGAUGAGAAUAUCUCAGACUGAA
This 662-nucleotide long non-coding RNA is filed under the name Bos indicus x Bos taurus (hybrid cattle). Its description in RNAcentral is "lncRNA (ENSBIXG00000016054.1)". The record is from RNAcentral. Lineage: Eukaryota; Metazoa; Chordata; Mammalia; Artiodactyla; Bovidae.